RNAcentral lists this ribosomal RNA (253 nucleotides) under uncultured bacterium. RNAcentral describes it as "partial 16S ribosomal RNA". It matches the Rfam family "Bacterial small subunit ribosomal RNA", at positions 524 to 776 of the family's 1533-position model. The record is from RNAcentral.
UACGGGGGGGGCAAGCGUUGUUCGGAAUUACUGGGCGUAAAGGGCUCGUAGGCGGCCAACUAAGUCAGACGUGAAAUCCCCAGGCUUAACCUGGGAACUGCGUCUGAUACUGGAUGGCUUGAGAACGGUAGGGGUGAGCGGAACUCCAGGUGGAGCGGUGAAAUGCGUAGAUAUCUGGAGGAACACCGGUGGCGAAAGCGGCUCACUGGACCGUCACUGACGCUGAGGUGCGAAAGCUAGGGUAGCAAACGGG